RNAcentral lists this ribosomal RNA (292 nucleotides) under uncultured bacterium. Its description in RNAcentral is "partial 16S ribosomal RNA". It matches the Rfam family "Bacterial small subunit ribosomal RNA", at positions 505 to 796 of the family's 1533-position model. The record is from RNAcentral.
GUGUCAGCAGCCGCGGUAAUACGAAGGGGGCUAGCGUUGUUCGGAUUUACUGGGCGUAAAGGGCGCGUAGGCAGAUUGAUAAGUCAGGGGUGAAAUGCCAAGGCUCAACCUUGGAACGGCCUUUGAUACUGUUGAUCUCGAGUCCGGGAGAGGUGAGUGGAACUGCGAGUGUAGAGGUGAAAUUCGUAGAUAUUCGCAAGAACACCAGUGGCGAAGGCGGCUCACUGGCCCGGAACUGACGCUGAGGCGCGAAAGCGUGGGGAGCAAACAGGAUUAGAUACCCGAGUAGUCC